AAUUCUCAACCCCACCGAUUUGCGUCGGCUUGCGGGCUUGGACUUGGAGCGUGCUGGCGAAAGUCGGCUCCUCUCUAAAUGCAUCAGCGGAUAACUUUAUACCCUUUGCUGUCAUCAGUGUGAUAAUCAUGUCUCGCUGUUACCAGGCUCAGCGGUGUCCGCUUCUAAUGGUCUCCUUCCGAGACAGAUACACUUUUAA
RNAcentral lists this unclassified non-coding RNA (199 nucleotides) under uncultured Atheliaceae. RNAcentral's name for it is "sequence contains ITS2". The record is from RNAcentral. Lineage: Eukaryota; Fungi; Basidiomycota; Agaricomycetes; Atheliales; Atheliaceae.